This 507-nucleotide ribosomal RNA is filed under the name Craterolophus convolvulus. RNAcentral describes it as "partial 16S ribosomal RNA". It matches the Rfam family "Bacterial large subunit ribosomal RNA", at positions 1923 to 2563 of the family's 2925-position model. Lineage: Eukaryota; Metazoa; Cnidaria; Staurozoa; Stauromedusae; Craterolophidae. The record is from RNAcentral.
UUCAAUGGCCGCGGUAUUUCUGACCGUGAUGAUGUAGCGAAAUCAAUCGUCACUUAAUUGCUGACCGGUAUGAAAGGUAUCACGAGUGUUCAACUGUCUCUGAAGAAGGCCCUGUNAAAUUGUAGGGGCCGUGCAUAUACGGCACCCCUUGUAAGACNAAAAGACCCUAUNNAGCUUUACUAUUAGUUUCCCNCCUCUUAANGCUUAUAGGUAACCCCCUGUAAGCCUAAUUUCGGGGAGUGAGGUAGUUUCGUUGGGGCGACNNCUUUAAAAAAGCAACAAAGGCUAACAAAGGUAUGAUAUAAAUGUAUCCGACUUGACUACUAGGGGUAUUUCCCGUGUAGACACAUCCGUGAGUCAUAGUAUUCCACCAUAGGUUAACACUUAUGGUGCCAAAACAUAAAAGUUACCAUAGGGAUAACAGCGUAAUUUUGUUGAAGAGCUCUUAUCGAUGACAAAGAUUGCGACCUCGAUGUUGAAUUGUGGUAUCCUGAAGGUGUAGCCGCU